GUGGAUUAGAUACCCGAGUAGUCCACGCCGUAAACGAUGAUUACUGGUUGUGUGCGAUAUACAGUGCGCGACUGAGGGAAACCAUUAAGUAAUCCACCUGGGGAGUACGUUCGCAAGAAUGAAACUCAAAGGAAUUGACGGGGGCCCGCACAAGCGGAGGAACAUGUGGUUUAAUUCGAUGAUACGCGAGGAACCUUACCUGGGCUUAAAUGUAGAGUGCAUGGCUUGGAAACAGGCCUUUCCUUCGGGACUCUUUACAAGGUGCUGCACGGCUGUCGCCAACU
RNAcentral lists this ribosomal RNA (284 nucleotides) under uncultured bacterium. RNAcentral's name for it is "partial 16S ribosomal RNA". It matches the Rfam family "Bacterial small subunit ribosomal RNA", at positions 773 to 1060 of the family's 1533-position model. The record is from RNAcentral.